This is a long non-coding RNA of Bactrocera neohumeralis, 3311 nucleotides long. RefSeq lists it as uncharacterized. NCBI's taxonomy places the organism in Eukaryota, Metazoa, Arthropoda, Insecta, Diptera, Tephritidae. The transcript is spliced from 7 exons. The record is from RefSeq and is a predicted model, not a curated record.
UGUUGCAAUUGUUGUUUGUGUAUUUAAGAUACUGCAGGGUGGUGGCGGGUGGCAGACACAGAAUACAGAACGUAUAUACGAGCAGUGUGGCCCAAUUUCGGCACACUAUUGUCAGAAUGAAAACAGAGUUGUGUUCUGAAAUGCAAAAAUAUUACAUUGUGAGAUUAUACAAAUACUGUUUAUACAAUGCAUAUUAUAGUAAAUCUGAGUUGAUUUAAGUAAUAUUACUGAAUUUUUAUUUUCCCGUACGUACAAAAUGAAAUUUUUUAUUACUCAUCUUCUUUGUCACCCGGUAGUUGAUACCCGGUGACGCUACUAACAGGGCGUAUUCACUUAAUGUGCUUAUAAUUUCUUCAAACAAACUACACACAUGAAUUUAAAUCAUCGUUACCAAUUCUGUUCCAAUCUAUUUACUUUAUUGGCUGAAAUGUAGCAAUUUUGUGGUACUUUGAGAAUGUCUACGAAGUUAUAAAUUUAUAAUCGUAUAUGUAUAUAUAUAUCACAUAUACAUAUAUAAUAUCAAUAUAUACUUUAGCAUUCGGUCAAGGAAGCAGUACUAUCUUAUAACCACUAGGAAAUAAAUUGUGCUAAAAAUGAUUAGGCAUUAUAGCCCUGACAGACGACAGCGCUAAUAUGCAAUAUCAUGCAUGUUAAUUCAAGUUUGUAAUGCACAAGAAUUUCGUGCAUUUAGCUGAAUUUACCAAAUUUGAGUAGGCAAGACUGCUCAAAAAUGGCCGAUUUUUGCUAUUUCUUGACAGAUGUCGCUAGAAGUCUGCUGCCUCCUUUACGUUUACAGCAUCAGAGAUGGCAGAAAAUUAACAACGCAAAGUUUGCUAUCCGUUUUUCCAAUAUUCUUAACUUUUUCGCACACUUUUUAUACCCUGAACAGGGUAUAUUAAGUUUGUCACGAAAUUUGUAACACCCAGAAGGAAGCGUCUGAGACCCUAUAAGGUAUAUAUGUACAUAUAUAAAUGAUCAGUAUGUUGAGCUGAGUCGAUUUAGUCAUGUCCGUCUGUCUGUCUGUCCGUCCGUCUGUCUGUCUCUAUAUAUACGAACUAGUCUCUUAGUUUUUAAGAUAUCGUUUUGAAAUUUUGUAAACGUUAUUUUUUCUUCCAGAAACUGCUCAUUUAUCGGAACUGCCGAUAUCGGACCACUGUAACUGAACGAUCGGAGUCAAGUUCUGAUGUUCCUAUAAGGAGUGUACCUUCCAACGCGGACGCAUCCGGAAAUGGCGUCGUAAUGACCGAUUUUAAAAUAUCUUAAGUUCAUCGAAAUAUAAUAAUAUGUGUUACAGCUGUUACCAGUGCCGGCUCCAAAAAUUCAAAAUCGGAAAAUGAUAGUUCGUAUAUAAAUUCAUAGAGUCCAUUGCUAUCAUAAACCAGAGCACGGGAAAUAAUUAAUUCAAAUUCAGAAGUAUUUAGGGAGUAAAAUCAGUAUUAAAAUAUGUUGAAAGGAAAAACACUCUCAGAAAGGAUUUCUGGAUCCUCUACUGGCUGUAACUUAGCUUAGUGCUCAAAUGCCACUGGAAGUGAUAAACUCCAGCAAAAAAAGCAAAGAAUCCACGCUGUUUUAAAAAGUUUCUGUGUUCCAUUGAGUACAAGUAAUCAAAUUCCGUCUGGAUGACGUCGGCUGUUAUUAAAGAAUGGCUUCAGAAAUCAUUCGUUCCGCAGGAGAGAAACUUGCCAAUUAAAGACCUAUUAAAGACCUAAUCGGCAACGCCCCUUUCAUCUAGAUGAAGCUGAACUGAUAUCGGGAAACCACCAAACGUUAAUCAUUCAUCCGAUGGAUCAGAAUGCAAUAAAAAUUACGAAGCUGCACUACAAAAACAGCCUUCUAGCUUCAGCAGCAUCUACGAAAUCUGAUUUGCUCAUUGACUGGAGAAGCUAACAUUAAAAGCUGCAAUAAAUCUUUAGGAAGGUGCUUAAAGUCGUGCCAUUGAAGAAACCCUAGCUAAUUGCUGGAAGAAUAUUUUAAAUUUUGCGGAAAACGAUGAUAAUCCUGAAGAUGGUAUGCCAUUGGCAGUUUUAAAAAUGGGAAGCUGAACUUCGCUCCUUCAUGAGCAACUCUAUGAAUCACCUUCACAGUUUAAAUACUGAGAAUGAAUGUACGUUAGCAACCCUUCGUGAAUGGAGCAAAGACAUUAAAGUAGAUAGUGCGGACGACGAUAUUGAAUCAGCGGACGAAUCAGACGAAACUGCGUCUCAAAGACACCGGAGAAAAUCAAACCAAAUGAAGCAACUGAAAGCUAUAAAGCGCUACAGUUGGCUAGUCAUGAAGGCGUCGAUCAAAACGAUGUGUAUUUCAAUUAUUAGAAUAACAGAAAUUGUAUUUCAACUACAAGGAAGCCCUUCACAAGGCAGCUAACAAGCGAACUCAGUUAGAUUGCCAUAUGACGGACCGGCUUGUAAUUUACUUGCAGUUUUUUAAGCACCUUGAACACUUCCUUUCAACUCCGACUUAAAAACACGAAUGAGUAUAAGCUGUUCCUUAUAUGAUUAAAAACUCUUUGCAGUGUUUGUUGUUCUAAAGGUCUAUGUACAGAGGAGGCGGCGAUUUAUCAGCAAAACCACGCCUGCGCACUUUGCCGAAGUCUGGCUGUGUGCGCAUUGGCUUAUCGGCUAAGUGCUAACCACAAGCGCAGAUGCUACGAAUUCCCUCGGCGAAUGCACACUUACAUGUGUAUGUAUGCGCGAGUAUAACUGUGCAUACCAAGAAGUAUGGAUGAUAAAAUGGAGCUAAACGCUUUAAAUCAAAACCUAUAGAAAUUAUUCCAAAUACGGUAUAUGUGUAUUUAUGUAUGUAAUUACAGAAACAAUAAAGAAUAUAUACUGAUAUCUUAAGGCUUAAGUCACAUGCAUUCACAUUCCGCACAUGUGUAUGUAUGUAUGUAUGCCCGCCAAAAAACCCUGUUACGCAUACGGCCUGGAGCUUAUCAAGAGUGCCCAACACAGAAUUUAAUAAAAUUAUACCUAAAAAGUUAUACCUAAAAAUAAAAUGUACAUAUAUACGAUACAUAAUGUGGACAUUUAUGCGAAUAAUCUUGCAUUUAAGAUUGUUAGUUAUAAUUGGGGAACUCACAACCCGUCGUAAAGCAUCGUAAAAUCGUAAAAUUAUAAAUUUUUACACUUGCUUAAAAAAAUUGUUGUUGUAUUUCAUACGAAAAUGAGUUUACACAUUUAUAAUUCUCAAUGCUAUGUUUUCGAAUCGUUAUAACUUAUAACUUUAUGAGACUUGUGAAAACCCUAAAUAUUCUUUUACACUCCAAGUUAAUAAAUUUUGAAAAGUUAAAAUACAUAUUUCUAGAACAUCGA